GAGUUUGAUCAUGGCUCAGAUUGAACGCUGGCGGCAUGCCUUACACAUGCAAGUCGAACGGCAGCACGGGAGCUUGCUCCUGGUGGCGAGUGGCGAACGGGUGAGUAAUGCAUCGGAACGUAUCCUGGAGUGGGGGAUAACGUAGCGAAAGUUACGCUAAUACCGCAUAUUCUGUGAGCAGGAAAGCGGGGGACCUUCGGGCCUCGCGCUCUUGGAGCGGCCGAUGUCGGAUUAGCUAGUUGGUGAGGUAAAGGCUCACCAAGGCGACGAUCCGUAGCAGGUCUGAGAGGAUGAUCUGCCACACUGGAACUGAGACACGGUCCAGACUCCUACGGAGGCAGCAGUGGGGAAUUUUGGACAAUGGGGGCAACCCUGAUCCAGCCAUGCCGCGUGAGUGAAGAAGGCCUCGGUG
This 412-nucleotide ribosomal RNA is filed under the name bacterium enrichment culture clone ALO1_GLFRUDD03GX1SY. RNAcentral's name for it is "bacterial SSU rRNA". It matches the Rfam family "Bacterial small subunit ribosomal RNA", at positions 9 to 422 of the family's 1533-position model. The record is from RNAcentral.